RNAcentral lists this ribosomal RNA (895 nucleotides) under uncultured archaeon. RNAcentral's name for it is "bacterial SSU rRNA". It matches the Rfam family "Archaeal small subunit ribosomal RNA", at positions 23 to 903 of the family's 1478-position model. The record is from RNAcentral.
CCGACUGCUAUUUGGGUGAGGAUAAGCCAUGCGAGUUGAAUGGGAAACCUAAAGUUCCCAUGGCAAACUGCUCAGUAACACAUGAUCAACUUACCCUAUAGAGAAAAAUAACCUCGGGAAACUGAGGAUAAUGUUUCAUAGUUGAAUUGGCUUGGAAAAGUUUUUCGACGAAAGGGGUAAAAAAAAUGGUUUUUAUCUGCUAUAGGAUAGGAUCGUGGUCGAUUAUGGUUGUUGGUGAGGUAACGGCUCACCAAGCCGAUAAUCGAUAGGGGCCGUGAGAGCGGGAGCCCCGAGAUGGGUACUGAGACAGCGACCCAGGCCUUACGAGGCGCAGCAGGCGCGAGACCUCCGCAAUACACGAAAGUGUGACGGGGUUACCCAAAGUGUCCAUAUUUGGACUGUGGUAGGUGAGUAAUGUCCCCUACUAGAAAGGAGAGGGCAAGGCUGGUGCCAGCCGCCGCGGUAAAACCAGCUCUUCAAGUGGUCGGGAUAAUUAUUGGGCUUAAAGUGUCCGUAGCCGGUUUAGUAAGUUCCUGGUAAAAUCGGGUAGCUUAACUAUCUGUAUGCUAGGAAUACUGCUAUACUAGAGGACGGGAGAGGUCUGAGGUACUACAGGGGUAGGGGUGAAAUCUUAUAAUCCUUGUAGGACCACCAGUGGCGAAGGCGUCAGACUGGAACGUGCCUAACGGUGAGGGACGAAAGCCAGGGGAGCGAACCGGAUUAGAUACCCGGGUAGUCCUGGCCGUAAACGAUGCAUACUAGGUGAUGGCAUGGCUAUGAGCCGUGUCAGUGCCGUAGGGAAACCGUUAAGUGUGCCGCCUGGGAAGUACGGUCGCAAGGCUAAAACUUAAAGGAAUUGGCGGGGGAGCACCACAAGGGGUGAAGCCUGCGGUUC